This is a non-coding RNA of Caenorhabditis elegans, 150 nucleotides long. NCBI's taxonomy places the organism in Eukaryota, Metazoa, Nematoda, Chromadorea, Rhabditida, Rhabditidae. The record is from Ensembl.
AAUAAGGUCUGAUUGCCACUUAGGGCACGUUCUGUGAGAAUGUGGCACCGAGAUGAAGAGCCCGAGCCUUUUUCUGGUAUGGCAUGAAAGAAAAGAAUUGACACAUCGCUUGCGCUUAUUUCCGGAUUCUCCCCCGGGAGCGGCCCUCUC